Molecule: ribosomal RNA, 460 nt
Filed under: uncultured bacterium
Lineage: Bacteria
Description: partial 16S ribosomal RNA
Rfam family: Bacterial small subunit ribosomal RNA
Source: RNAcentral
CCUACGGGUGGCAGCAGUGAGGAAUAUUGGUCAAUGGGCGGAAGCCUGAACCAGCCAAGUAGCGUGCGGGAUGAAGGCCCUCCGGGUCGUAACCCGCUUUUGCACGGGGAUAACACCCUCCACUUGUGGAGGUCUGCAGGUACCGUGCGAAUAAGGAUCGGCUAACUCCGUGCCAGCAGCCGCGGUAAUACGGAGGAUCCGAGCGUUAUCCGGAUUUAUUGGGUUUAAAGGGAGCGUAGGUGGAUUGUUAAGUCAGUUGUGUAAGUUUGCGGCUCAACCGUAAAAUUGCAGUUGAAACUGGCAGUCUUGAGUACAGUAGAGGUUGGCGGAAUUCGUGGUGUAGCGGUGAAAUGCUUAGAUAUCACGAAGAACUCCGAUUGCGAAGGCAGUUCACUGGACUGCAACUGACACUGAGGCUCGAAAGUGUGGGUAUCAAACAGGAUUAGAUACCCCUGUAGUC